CCUACGGGGUGCAGCAGUGGGGAAUAUUGGACAAUGGGCGAAAGCCUGAUCCAGCCAUGCCGCGUGUGUGAGAAGGCCUUCGGGUUGUAAAGCACUUUCAGUGGGGAAGAAAGCCUUGGGGCUAAUACCCUCGAGGAAGGACAUCACCCACAGAAGAAGCACCGGCUAACUCCGUGCCAGCAGCCGCGGUAAUACGGAGGGUGCGAGCGUUAAUCGGAAUUACUGGGCGUAAAGCGCGCGUAGGCGGUCUGAUAAGCCGGUUGUGAAAGCCCCGGGCUCAACCUGGGAACGGCAUCCGGAACUGUCAGGCUAGAGUGCAGGAGAGGAAGGUAGAAUUCCCGGUGUAGCGGUGAAAUGCGUAGAGAUCGGGAGGAAUACCAGUGGCGAAGGCGGCCUUCUGGACUGACACUGACGCUGAAGUGCGAAAGCGUGGGUAGCAAACAGGAUUAGAUACCCGAGUAGUC
RNAcentral lists this ribosomal RNA (464 nucleotides) under Vreelandella stevensii. RNAcentral's name for it is "partial 16S ribosomal RNA". It matches the Rfam family "Bacterial small subunit ribosomal RNA", at positions 338 to 795 of the family's 1533-position model. The record is from RNAcentral. Lineage: Bacteria; Pseudomonadati; Pseudomonadota; Gammaproteobacteria; Oceanospirillales; Halomonadaceae.